Long non-coding RNA from Biomphalaria glabrata, 1605 nucleotides. RefSeq lists it as uncharacterized. Lineage: Eukaryota; Metazoa; Mollusca; Gastropoda; Planorbidae. The transcript is spliced from 3 exons. The record is from RefSeq and is a predicted model, not a curated record.
UAUUUCAUUGUACGUUCACCUGAGAGAAGUGAUAGAACUCAUCAAAAGGUACGCUAAGGGCAGAUGAAGUGUAUACAAUAAACUCCCCAUAUAUGUUUCAAAACAUAUUGUGUUUGUAGCUUUAGGCUGCAGAUGAACAAAACUUCAAAUAAUGUGGUUCUUAAAACUGCCAGGAGAAAAAAAGGAACUCAAUAGGAUGACUUAUUUGUUAAGGAACUCAAUAGGAUGACUUAUUUGUUAAGGAACUCAAUAGGAUGACUUAUUUGUUAAGGAACUCAAUAUGAUGACUUAUUUGUUAAGGAACUCAAUAGGAUGACUUAUUUGUUAAGAAACUCAAUAGGAUGACUUAUUUGUUAAGAAACUCAAUAGGAUGACUUAUUUGUUAAGGAACUCAAUAAGAUGACAUUUGUUAAGGAACUCAAUAUGAUGACUUAUUUGUUAAUGAACUCAAUAGGAUGACUUAUUUGUUAAGAAACUCAAUAGGAUGACUUAUUUGUUAAGGAACUCAAUAGGAUGACUUAUUUGUUAAGGAACUCAAUAAGAUGACUUAUUUGUCAACUGAUACAAAGCUUUGUUUAAUCUUUCAUUAAAGCUCUCAAUAUAAUGUUGUUUUAUUCUGAUAAACUAUUGUAUACGUAAGUCAGUGGUUAACAAGCAUGACUCUAUGCAUGAAACGUAGGACGUAAGUCAUCUCUUUUUUUGAAGUAACGUCUGUAUUUUAUAAGAUAAGAUAAAUCAAUGUCUGGUUUGAAGAAACCACGUGGAGAGUUAUUUACAGCUGUGUGUAUAUUUGUGUAUCUCCCCUUUUUAUAACCGACUCGGUCCAAUAUUCUGUAGCUGUGACAUCCUCUAUUUAUUCUUCUUCUUAAACUGAUUCUCUGUUUCAAAUCAUUGGCUUGGGCUUGGUUAAUAGUUUCAACUAAAACUAAACCGUUCGUAUUGUUUUGUCUCUAGACGAUUUCGCAUUUUUAGAACCACCGAUGCAGAACUAGAAUGUACUUCUAUAAACGUGUAAUCAAUCAUUAGUCUAGCCACUGGAGAUCAGAGGUACAAAACAACUGCGUUGACAGGACACGUCUCACGUCGUAAGAUAAUGAGAAGAUUGACGCAUGAACAUUUCAAACUAAGUCUAGGUGUGUGAGAUCAAGCGUCAUUAAAGGGAAACAAAAUUCAUUGUAGCCCCCCACCCCCUCGUUAGCAGUGUCCAGUGCUGAGAUGAUGUGACAGGUCUGCAGCAGUACUGCCCUUUGACAGAAGUCUUGUAAAGUGUUUCAAGUUCAAAACAAAGGAGCUCAAACUCCGAGAUUUGAACUGGAGAUCAACAUUGAAAUGAAGACAUGGAAGCAGUAGAAGAAUACAAACAUUUCCACAGAAAUAGGAAGAAAAACUUGUUGGCACUAUCAACUCAAAAGUCAGAGUGACACGGGCCAGGUAAUACAUUCAAUAAGAAGUGGAACAAAUAGUUUGAAAGUGAAUGACGUCAUGUAGAAAAUCAUAAACAUUACUGUUCUCGCUUAGUGCGGGUGACUUCUUACCCAGAGGAAUGUUCCUUCUUUUUGGUCUGCAUGAUUACAGUAAAGAAUAAAUAGUUAAGUGAUCAUAUGA